RNAcentral lists this ribosomal RNA (199 nucleotides) under uncultured bacterium. Its description in RNAcentral is "partial 16S ribosomal RNA". It matches the Rfam family "Bacterial small subunit ribosomal RNA", at positions 1294 to 1500 of the family's 1533-position model. The record is from RNAcentral.
CGGAUUGGAGGCUGAAACCCGCCUCCAUGAAGUUGGAUUCGCUAGUAAUCGCGCAUCAGCCAUGGCGCGGUGAAUACGUUCCCGGGCCUUGUACACACCGCCCGUCAAGCCAUGGGAGCCGGGGGUGCCUGAAGUUCGUUACCGCAAGGAUCGACCUAGGGCAAAACUGGUGACUGGGGCUAAGUCGUAACAAGGUAUC